Molecule: RNA transcript, 6463 nt
Organism: Xyrauchen texanus (razorback sucker)
Lineage: Eukaryota; Metazoa; Chordata; Actinopteri; Cypriniformes; Catostomidae
Gene name: shaker-related potassium channel tsha2-like
Exons: 2
Source: RefSeq, a predicted model, not a curated record
UUGGGGAGGGAAUGAGGAGAAACGUCCGUCAGAAAAAUGCGCGCGACAACAGCGAAGUGAAACGACACGCGCCACUCUACAAGUGCUCUCAAGCUUUUCUGAGGCGCGAAAAACACUCGCCUUUCUGAGGGGACAAACAUGACCGUGGUGCCCGGGGAGAACCUCGACGAGACUGUGGCACUAACAGUUCUCUCUCAAGAUGUGUAUGAACCCGAACGAGCUGACCAGGAGUGCUGUGAGCGGGUGGUCAUCAACAUCUCGGGGCUCCGCUUCGAAACCCAACUGAAGACCUUGGCGCAAUUCCCGUCCACCUUACUCGGCGACCCCAGGAAAAGAAUGCGCUUCUUCGACCCUCUGAGGAACGAGUACUUCUUUGACAGAAACCGACCCAGUUUUGACGCCAUCCUUUACUUCUAUCAGUCUGGAGGCAGGUUACGGAGACCCGUCAACGUUCCAGUUGACAUCUUUAUGGAGGAGAUUAAAUUCUACGAGUUGGGAGAAGAAGUAAUUGAGAAUUUUAAUGAGGAUGAGGGAUUCAUUAAGGAGGAAGAGCGACCUUUGCCAGAAAACGAGUUCCAGCGGCAGGUCUGGCUCUUGUUCGAGUACCCGGAGAGCUCUGGACCAGCGAGGGGUAUCGCGAUAGUGUCCGUGCUCGUCAUUUUGAUCUCAAUCGUCAUCUUUUGCUUGGAGACUUUACCAGAGUUUAGAGAAGAUGGAAAAAUGCACCAGGAGCACCUCGCGACUAACGGAACUGUUGGACCCAAGAAGUCAAAUCCCUUCACAGACCCCUUCUUCAUUGUGGAGACCCUUUGUAUAAUUUGGUUCUCCUUUGAAUUGUUGGUGCGGUUUCUCGCGUGCCCGAGCAAGCCCGCCUUUUUCAAGAACAUCAUGAACACGAUCGACAUCGUGGCGAUUAUUCCCUACUUCAUCACCUUGGGUCUGGAGUUGGCCGAGCAUCAGGGCAACGGGCAGCAAGCCAUGUCGCUGGCCAUCCUGAGGGUCAUUCGUUUGGUGCGGGUGUUCCGCAUCUUCAAGCUCUCCAGACACUCCAAGGGGCUCCAGAUCUUGGGGAAGACCCUACAAGCGAGUAUGCGGGAACUCGGUCUUCUCAUAUUCUUCCUUUUCAUUGGAGUUAUACUAUUCUCCAGUGCCGUCUACUUCGCCGAGACAGACGACCCCGACUCGGGGUUCAGCAGCAUCCCCGAUGCCUUCUGGUGGGCAGUGGUUUCCAUGACAACUGUGGGCUACGGGGACAUGUGCCCAGUCACCAUAGGUGGCAAAAUUGUGGGCUCUUUAUGUGCCAUCGCUGGCGUGCUCACUAUUGCUCUCCCGGUGCCCGUCAUCGUGUCCAAUUUCAAUUACUUUUACCACCGGGAGACCGAGCACGAGGAGCAGUUACAGUACACGCAUGUAAAAUGUGGCCAGGAGCAACCAUCGUUUGGCGAAUUUAAAAGGAACGACAGCAAAACAUCCCUCUCGCAAUCAGAUUCAGAGGAUGGAGAUUCGGUGAAGUACACCAACUGCAGCCUCGAUAAAGCGUGUACAGAGAAACUUACCGAUGUAUGAAUGUGGACAAACACAACCAAAGAAACGCACUUUUCUCUGUGAGUACAUCCUCAUCACUCGCUCUGGCUUGAGUAGGCUAGAUGUCUAAUAACCGUGAGGAACACUUUAUUAGUAAAGGAUAACAGUAUAUUUAAUGUGCGUUUAUUUUCGAAACUGUCUUGCGUUGUUGUGAUCGUCGAUCAUCGGAGCGCGCAGACAUAAAACGAAACUGUAUCUAGCCGCAAAGAAAUACAAAUUAAAAAUAGAAAAGAUAGGUACGUAUAUUAUAAACAAGCCCUAUGAAAUAGAUGUGUAGCACUUUAUUCAUGUAGGUUUAAUUAACAAAAUUCGUUGAUUUCUUUAUUUUUUGCGAAUUCGACAGCUGUGCGAUAAUGAAGUUUACUUUCAAGUUGCUUAUUUGGAGAGAGAUAUUAGGACCAAUAAUUAUAAUUUGUAUUCGAUUGUUUGUUUGUUUGAUGAGGAUGACAAUUGCAAGGUCAUUUGGAAAAACGACUUGCACCAGCAAUGGCAUUUAAUUCUAUUAGCUAUGUGGUGUAGAUAUUAAUUUUUAUAUUAAGAAAUGCUUUAUUUUUUUCAAGAAGAUCGGUAGAAUAGCGACCCAGCAUUAUACUGCAAUAUAUUUCAUUUUUACGGUUGUCAUAACUGUUUCUGCAGUGACAACAAUGCAUUUUGCAGCAUUGAAAUAAUAUUUUCAGGUUGUGGCUUCUUCAAAUAUUGAUGCAUUUUUAGCACUAAGUAGAAGCAAAGACAGAGCACUGAAGGGCUGCAUCUUUGCUGAUCAGCUGUGAGUUUGAGAAGAACUUCAUAUUAUCAACAGAUGUGUAAGGGAAGAAUGAAUGAACAGGUUGGCGCCUAAAUCGGAGUAAUGCCAUUUUUAGAUCCAAUAGUGACAUCUAGUGGAGGAGGCUGAAAAUGCAAGAUGAAAAUGUGUUUCCAUAGCAACCUUCCAGACUAUUCUCGAGACAUUAGGCAAUAUGUAGUUAAAUGUGUUCACAAGUAAGAUUGUUGCAGGUGCUUAUAUUCUAAACAAAAUACAUUCUUCCAUAAAUUCAGCAAUAUAUUUAGCGCCAGGCAUUUCGAUGAAAUGUUAGCCUAUUAGUCGGCCUAGUUUAAAUCAAUAAAUCCGGAAAGGCUCCUUCAAAACAUCACAGGGGAUAAAAUACAGUGUAAUAAUAAUUAUAUAUACACACACACACACACACACACACACACACACACACACACACACACACACACACACACACACACACACACAAGCCACUCCAAUCAAAAAGCAGCAAAUAAAAAUAGAGAAACAUCAGUAUUUCUGCUCUGCACCAACGUCAGGAGGACAUCAUGAGUAUGGCACAAAAAAGGAUUCAUUGUGACGUCACGGCCAGGAGGGAAAACCUCGGCCGCCUAUUGGCUGGAUUAGGAGAAUCAAUACUGCAGAUAAUUCCUGCAAUGUCAAUAAUGGAAUAACUAAACGUGAAAGCAAAGAUUUCCAGCCAUACGACGUCAACUACCUCCACAAACUUUCAGUUCUUUUAAAUGGAUUGUCAGCUUAACAUGAAGGAUUUGUGCAGGAUGAGGUGCAGUUAUGAAUAUGGGCAUCUGAUAUUAUGCAGAAUAUCAUCAAGGAUAAUAUGAGCGUUCAGCAAAGCAGCACCACACAAACUACACGCUCACAUCUAAUGUAUGGACGUCGACAUUUUAAAGAGCAUUCAUUCUUUUUCUCUUUGAGAUGUACGCCUCAAAUGAGUUUGAUGAGGGAUUGUUUUGUCAAAUGUGGAAUCUAACAGAGGAAACAUGGACAACGGGGUUCUAUGGUAAAUAUAAAGAUGCUUUUAAACUUGAAUUCACAGAUGACAUGCACAAAAAAAUGUGUGAGAUGCUUCCCUUUGUUUAUUUGCUCAAAACAAAAACAUGCUAUUGGGAUGUCUUCAUACCAGCCUAAUAUACGUAUUAUGUUGAAACGUUACAUAUCAUGUGCUAUACCAAAACAUAUUAUGGUAUGUGUGGAAAGCUGGCCAUGGAAUAAAUCUUGAUUAUUAUUAUUUUUAAUAAUUAUUGUUUUUACAAACAAACUCAAAAGUACAUGAAAUCAGUCAUAUAAAAUGGGAGCAAUGACAGCAUAUAUCAAUCAUGAUAAAUUACUUGACCGUUUAGGUUAACAUUGUAAAAUAUCUAUUUUUUUAAAGUAUCAUAGUUUUUAUAUAAAAAUGGAAUCUGUUAAACUGGUGUAAGGUUAUUUUUGUAGCUUUUUGAAAUUUUGCUAAAUGAUUUUCAGUUUUCUGUAUUUCACUCAGUUUAUUUUGCCUACAGUGAAAAGAAUCAAAAUGUAAAAUACUCAUUUUAUGAUUCUGAAUUACAGCACCUUUCCACAUCGGAUGAAUUAUGCAGUAGAAAUGUUUGUGUCUUUGUUUAUUUAUUUUACAAUCAUUGAUAUAGUUUCAGAAUCAUUUAUCACCCGUCAUUGAAAGCAUCUACCUCACUGUCCCGUUUGGCUGUUUUACUGCAUUUUACCUCACUGUGUUGAGUUACAUCAAGCACAUCACAGGCCUUAUUUCUGGAAGCAGCUUGAACACAUGUCAUGGUUUUCCUCAUAACUGUAAGCAGUGCUCCAUGUGCGGUGAUCUGGCUGUGUACAUUCUGUAAAAGGGCAGAAAAAUAUAAAUAAUACUGACUGAUAAUGUAAUGAAAAGUCUCAAUAUGCCCCAAUACAGAAUUAAAGGUAUUGACAAUGUAUUUUCCCUCAUGAAAUGUUUUCUGUAAUGUGGUGAUAUGUAAGACAGUGGUUCGCACUGAACAUUGUUUUUUUUUUUUUUACCCAAAUUAUACAUUGGAUAUCAAGUGGCGACCCAUCACACUUUAGCAUAUUUAGGCCGAAUAUUGGCGGUUGCAAUGCAUGAGACAAAGAGUUUCAAUGUUAAUGAUACUUGAGAGAUCAUUUUAUGGCAGUAGAAUUCUCUAGUAAAAGUGUAUAUAAAAUAAUGUCCCAUUUUAAGUAAAAUGCUUGUGUUCAACAGGUAUUCAUGAUCACGCCUGUUCACAAGCACAAAUGUACUGCAUCAAGCCCCUGAAAACAGAACUUUUCCUAACAUUCAUCUUUAUUACAUGUUCGCUUAUAUCACAUAGAAACAAAUGUCUGUGUCUUAUGUCAAAUUAAUGUCCAUCAUUCAUUUAUCAUCAGUACAUUAUUGUUAAACAAACUCCAAUUGUGUAUGUUGUUGUGCGAGAGGAAGUUUUCCAUGAGAAAUCAAGAUGAUUUUACUUUAUAAUGAUUUCAGCACUGUUAUUAUUUUCUGAUUAAUACAAAAGUGUAUCAUCUUCUCUCAGCACUUAGAUUGGACAUUACUGUUAAAUAACAUUGUGUGGUCCAGAGCCGUGUUGGGAAACUGCAGUUUCAAUUAAAAGAUUUGCUGAUUUGUUUCAGGCAUCACUCAAAAGUUUCCCUGAAAACCCUGCACAGCUUUUUUUGUACAUGUUUUCGAUUAUGGUACUGUGGUAUGGUAUAGAUUGAUUCAAAUAUGGUUUAUAAUGUCACCCACCUGACAGGUUUACUCAUAAACAAAGGCUAUGUUCAGAAUAAUCUUACUGAAUCGCUAAAAAUAACUGACUCAAAAGAAUGAUUCGCUUGUGAAUCAGACAUUGCUAUUACUAGAAGGAUUGGCAUAGACAUUAUUAAUGAUGUUUUAUUUGAUUUUUUAUCAGACCUGAUCUUUAAAAAAUUUCUUAUUAAUGCUAUCAUUUGUAGCAUAUGUGCUGCUGUAGACCUUGGAGAGAAGAAUUAUUCCAAAAUGUUUAUCGUGCACAUAGGCAUAGGUGUUGAGUUUACUGAACAUACAAGGGUAAAGAAACAGCUCAUCUCUCCCACAGUGGAUGUUUUAUCAGUUAUAAUGUCACCAAACUGUAAUGCCUCCAGUAACUGACUGAUCCACCUAAUAGGAGAGCCCUUGGUCGAGGAGACCGUGGGCCAUUUGUAAUUUCUUCAAUCACACUCAGAGUAGUAUAUAUAUAUUUCGCAAUAUAUUUUCAUAAAUGUUCCAUCAUAUGGCUCGUGAGUGUCAAAUACAUCUACUCACAUAUGAAAUUACACUGUUGCCUACUAAGUAUACUGUGCAAAACUAGGAUAGAAACUGUAUGUGCGUAUCUAACAUGUUCCUUUAAUACCACCUUGUUAAUCAAGUGGUUUAUUCAAAUGCAGGGAAAUGAUUCUUAUGCUGAUCAUUGAUGAAUACUGCUGUGAGAAAUGAUCAAACAGUGUUGCACAUUUAGUUUCUGUCUAGAUGUUUCUUGUUCAUAGUAAGCAAUAAUGCAUGAUAAAUCUGUUGCUUUGCACAUGGUUAACUGGUUGUUCAUAUAAAUAUAUUUCUUUAAUAGUGCCUUGUAUCACAUGAAUGGAUAUGCUAACCCUUCUAGAUCAUGUAUAUUGAGAAGAUAACGUCACUGAAGCGAUGUGAUUCUUUCUGUAAUAUGAAUGUAAUGCACUCAGUCUUCCUUGAAUUGGAUUGUUCCUUAUUUACACAAAUGUUAACAUCUCAUGUCUUAGAUCCCCAUGUUUCAAUUUAUGCCACAAUUUGUGUCUUUAAUUGGGUCUUUAACUUUGAUUUACCUGCACAAAAAGUGAAUUAAUGAAUCACAGCAAAAUGCAAGUGUACAAACCAUGACAUCUAUCUUAUCUUAUUUAGUUUCAAAAGUAACAAAAUAUGGUAACACUUUACUGUAAAAUUGGAUUGGGAUUUGAUUGAAUUAGGUAUCAAGAAUGGAUUUGAUUAGGUAUCAUGAACUAACAAUGCAAAAUCAUUUUUCGUUAAUGUUACUGUUUAUAUAGACAGAAAUAUACUACUGUUUCAUUUUUUUCAUUUUUUUGUGAAUUUUCCCCUAAUGUUAAAAAUGUUUUAGUAUAUAAUUAACA